GAAUCAUUUCUUUUGGAGAAUAAAGAGAUUAGAGCCGAGAAGAACUCAUAACUCAAGUUCCAUUUUCGUAUUCCAUGACAGCCUCCACUAAAUCAGCUUCUGUUUUGGAGGAGAAAACGGAUCUUGAAGUUGUGUCAGUUAUGCUGAAUGUGUGUUAUGAGGAGCUACGGAUUUCUUGAUGAUGGAGAUGGAAGUUUGAGCAAGAGGGAGAUGCAAUAGUAACAAGAGCACCAUCUUAACCUCCAUUUGAUCCAAGGUGCGGUUUAGUAGCUUUUGGUCAGUAGCAGGUUUGGACUGAAGACUUGGAAGUGGUGAUGGCUUGGAGACCUCGUCAGAUCUCAUUCUCCGCUGUGCAGAUCCAUUGAAGACACAUGUUUUGUAAUUCUUAUUAGGAUUUCAUGUUGUAUUUUAUAUGGAUAUUUCUAUAACUUUAGCUUUUGUAUGUACUCAAUAUCAAUUUAUAACGUUUCAUGCAUAAUA
This is a long non-coding RNA of Vicia villosa (hairy vetch), 480 nucleotides long. RefSeq lists it as uncharacterized. The transcript has 3 exons. NCBI's taxonomy places the organism in Eukaryota, Viridiplantae, Streptophyta, Magnoliopsida, Fabales, Fabaceae. The record is from RefSeq and is a predicted model, not a curated record.